This 1241-nucleotide ribosomal RNA is filed under the name metagenome. RNAcentral's name for it is "bacterial LSU rRNA". It matches the Rfam family "Bacterial large subunit ribosomal RNA", at positions 1564 to 2814 of the family's 2925-position model. The record is from RNAcentral.
UGAAUACGAGACGCUAAAGCGUCGAAGUAGUGUAUGUCAUACUUCCAAGAAAAGCUUGCACUGUCAUAGAUAAAAAACGCCUGUACCAUAACCGACACAGGUGGGUAGGUAGAGUAUACUAAGGGGCGCGAGAUAACUCUCUCUAAGGAACUCGGCAAAAUAACUCCGUAACUUCGGGAGAAGGAGUGCCUUAUUUAUAAGGCUGCAAUAACAAGAUCCAAGCAACUGUUUAUCAAAAACACAGGUCUCCGCUAAGUCGUAAGACGAUGUAUGGGGGCUGACGCCUGCCCAGUGCCAGAAGGUUAAAGAAGUUGGUUAGCUUUUGCGAAGCUGAUAACUGAAGCCCUGGUGAACGGCGGCCGUAACGAUAACGGUCCUAAGGUAGCGAAAUUCCUUGUCGGGUAAGUUCCGACCCGCACGAAAGGCGUAAUGAUUUGGAUACUGUCUCGGAGAGGGGCUCGGUGAAAUAGACUUGUCUGUGAAGAUGCGGACUACCUGCACCAGGACAGAAAGACCCUAUGAAGCUUUACUGUAACUUGAAAUUGAAAUUGGACUUUAUUCGCGCAGCAUAGGUGGGAGGCGUUGAUUAUAAUCUCGUGGGAUUAUUGGAGCCAUCAGUGAGAUACCACUCUUGUAAUGUUAGAUUUCUAACUUUGAAUCAUUAUCUGGUCAAAGAACAGUUUCAGGCGGGCAGUUUGACUGGGGCGGUCGCCUCCUAAACGGUAACGGAGGCGUACAAAGGUUUCCUCUGAACGGUUAGAAAUCGUAUCUAGAGUGUAAAGGCAUAAGGAAGCUUGACUGUGAGACCUACAAGUCGAGCAGGGACGAAAGUCGGUCUUGGUGAUCUGACGGUACUGAGUGGAAAGGCCGUCACUCAACGGAUAAAAGUUACUCUAAGGAUAACAGGCUGAUCUCCCCCAAGAGUUCACAUCGACGGGGAGGUUUGGCACCUCGAUGUCGGCUCAUCGCAUCCUGGGGCGGUAGUACGUCCCAAGGGUUGGGCUGUUCGCCCAUGAAAGCGGUACGCGAGCUGGGUUCAGAACGUCGUGAGACAGUUCGGUCCAUAUCCGGUGUAGGCGUUAGAAUAUUGAGAGGAGCCUUCUUUAGUACGAGAGGACCGAGAAGGACAUACCUCUGGUGUACCAGUUAUCGUGCCAACGGUAAACGCUGGGUAGCUAUGUAUGGAGUGGAUAACCGCUGAAAGCAUCUAAGUGGGAAGCCCACCUCAAGAUAAGUAUUCU